GGGCCCGUAGCUCAGCUUGGCUGGAGCGCUCGGCUGAUAACCGGGAGGUCCUGGGUUCAAAUCCCAGCGGGCCCACCA
This 78-nucleotide transfer RNA is filed under the name Hadesarchaea archaeon CG08_land_8_20_14_0_20_51_8. RNAcentral's name for it is "tRNA-Ile". It matches the Rfam family "tRNA". From Rfam's summary of the family: Transfer RNA (tRNA) molecules are approximately 80 nucleotides in length. Their secondary structure includes four short double-helical elements and three loops (D, anti-codon, and T loops). The record is from RNAcentral. Lineage: Archaea; Methanobacteriati; Hadarchaeota (SeqCode); Hadarchaeia (SeqCode).